UGGGGAAUAUUGCACAAUGGACGGAAGUCUGAUGCAGCGACGCCGCGUGGGGGAUGAAGGCUUUCGGGUUGUAAACUCCUUUCGAUGCUGAACAAGGCUCUUUUUAGGGUUGAGGGUAGGUGUUGAAUAAGCGCCGGCUAACUACGUGCCAGCAGCCGCGGUAAUACGUAGGGCGCGAGCGUUGUCCGGAAUUAUUGGGCGUAAAGGGCUCGUAGGCGGUUUGUCGCGUCUGCUGUGAAAGACCGGGGCUUAACUCCGGGGUUGCAGUGGGUACGGGCAGACUAGAGUGCGGUAGGGGUAGCUGGAAUUCCUGGUGUAGCGGUGGAAUGCGCAGAUAUCAGGAGGAACACCGAUGGCGAAGGCAGGUUACUGGGCCGUUACUGACGCUGAGGAGCGAAAGCAUGGGGAGCGAACAGG
RNAcentral lists this ribosomal RNA (417 nucleotides) under Fusobacteriota bacterium. RNAcentral's name for it is "Fusobacteria bacterium partial 16S ribosomal RNA". It matches the Rfam family "Bacterial small subunit ribosomal RNA", at positions 355 to 776 of the family's 1533-position model. The record is from RNAcentral. Lineage: Bacteria; Fusobacteriati; Fusobacteriota.